This 468-nucleotide ribosomal RNA is filed under the name uncultured bacterium. RNAcentral describes it as "partial 16S ribosomal RNA". It matches the Rfam family "Bacterial small subunit ribosomal RNA", at positions 28 to 507 of the family's 1533-position model. The record is from RNAcentral.
GACGAACGCUGGCGGCGUGCUUAACACAUGCAAGUCGAACGGAAAGGCCCUGCUUUUGUGGGGUGCUCGUGUGGCGAACGUGUGAGUAACACGUGAGUAACCUGCCCUUGACUUUGGUAUAACUUCAGGAAUCUGUGGCUAAUCCCGGAUAGGAGCUCCUGCUGCUUGUUGUUGGUUGGAUAGUUUCGGCGGUUGGGGAUGGACUCGCGGCUUAUCAGCUUGUUGGUGGGGUAGUGGCUUACCAAGGCUUUGACGGGUAGCCGGCCUGAGAGGGUGACCGGCCACAUUGGGACUGAGAUACGGCCCAGACUCCUACGGGAGGCAGCAGUGGGGAAUAUUGCACAAUGGGCGGAAGCCUGAUGCAGCAACGCCGCGUGCGGGAUGACGGCCUUCGGGUUGUAAACCGCUUUCGCCUGUGACGAAGCGUGAGUGAAGGUAAUGGGUAAAGAAGCAACGGCUAAAUAAGUG